Picea glauca (white spruce) is the source of this 121-nucleotide non-coding RNA. The record is from Rfam. NCBI's taxonomy places the organism in Eukaryota, Viridiplantae, Streptophyta, Pinopsida, Pinales, Pinaceae.
ACAUGCCUACAACAUAACAUUAAUGCACCAGAUCCCAUUAGAACUCAACAGUUAAGCACACUCAGGCUAGAGUAGUAUUGGGAUGGGUGACUACCCGUGAAGUCCUAGUAUUUUACAUGCC